UGACCGCUGGCGGUGUGCUUAACACAUGCAAGUCGAACGGAAAGGCCACAGCUUGCUGUGGUACUCGAGUGGCGAACGGGUGAGUAACACGUGGGUGAUCUGCCCUGUACUUCGGGAUAAGCUUGGGAAGCUGGGUCUAAUACCGGAUAGGAAUCACAUGUGGGUGUGUGGUUGGAAAGCUUUUGCGGUAUGGGAUGAGCUCGCGGCCUAUCAGCUUGUUGGUGGGGUAAUGGCCUACCAAGGCGUCGACGGGUAGCCGGCCUGAGAGGGUGUACGGCCACAUUGGGACUGAGAUACGGCCCAGACUCCUACGGGAGGCAGCAGUGGGGAAUAUUGCACAAUGGGCGCAAGCCUGAUGCAGCGACGCCGCGUGGGGGAUGACGGCCUUCGGGUUGUAAACUCCUUUCGUCAGGGACGAAGCGAAAGUGACGGUACCUGGAUAAGAAGCACCGGCUAACUACGUG
Molecule: ribosomal RNA, 464 nt
Filed under: uncultured bacterium
Lineage: Bacteria
Description: partial 16S ribosomal RNA
Rfam family: Bacterial small subunit ribosomal RNA
Source: RNAcentral